AGGCUCAGAACGAACGCUGGCGGCAGGCCUAACACAUGCAAGUCGAGCGCGCCCUUCGGGGUGAGCGGCGGACGGGUUAGUAACGCGUGGGAAUAUACCCUUUUCUGCGGAAUAGCCUCUGGAAACGGAGAGUAAUACCGCAUACGCCCUUCGGGGGAAAGAUUUAUCGGGGAAGGAUUAGCCCGCGUUAGAUUAGGUAGUUGGUGGGGUAAUGGCCUACCAAGCCUACGAUCUAUAGCUGGUUUUAGAGGAUGAUCAGCAACACUGGGACUGAGACACGGCCCAGACUCCUACGGGAGGCAGCAGUGGGGAAUCUUGGACAAUGGGCGCAAGCCUGAUCCAGCCAUGCCGCGUGAGUGAUGAAGGCCUUAGGGUCGUAAAGCUCUUUCGCCUGUGAAGAUAAUGACGGUAGCAGGUAAAGAAACCCCGGCUAACUCCGUGCCAGCAGCCGCGGUAAUACGGAGGGGGUUAGCGUUGUUCGGAAUUACUGGGCGUAAAGCGCACGUAGGCGGACUGGAAAGUUGGGGGUGAAAUCCCAGGGCUCAACCCUGGAACUGCCUCCAAAACUAUCAGUCUAGAGUUCGAGAGAGGUGAGUGGAAUUCCGAGUGUAGAGGUGAAAUUCGUAGAUAUUCGGAGGAACACCAGUGGCGAAGGCGGCUCACUGGCUCGAUACUGACGCUGAGGUGCGAAAGUGUGGGGAGCAAACAGGAUUAGAUACCCUGGUAGUCCACACCGUAAAACGAUGAAUGCCAGUCGUCGGGUAGCAUGCUAUUCGGUGACACACCUAACGGAUUAAGCAU
Molecule: ribosomal RNA, 801 nt
Filed under: Ruegeria sp.
Lineage: Bacteria; Pseudomonadati; Pseudomonadota; Alphaproteobacteria; Rhodobacterales; Roseobacteraceae
Description: bacterial SSU rRNA
Rfam family: Bacterial small subunit ribosomal RNA
Source: RNAcentral